Molecule: ribosomal RNA, 492 nt
Filed under: uncultured bacterium
Lineage: Bacteria
Description: partial 16S ribosomal RNA
Rfam family: Bacterial small subunit ribosomal RNA
Source: RNAcentral
AGUGAACGCUGGCGGUAGGCCUAACACAUGCAAGUCGAACGGCAGCACAGUAAGAGCUUGCUCUUACGGGUGGCGAGUGGCGGACGGGUGAGGAAUACAUCGGAAUCUACUUUUUCGUGGGGGAUAACGUAGGGAAACUUACGCUAAUACCGCAUACGACCUACGGGUGAAAGCAGGGGAUCUUCGGACCUUGCGCGAUUGAAUGAGCCGAUGUCGGAUUAGCUAGUUGGCGGGGUAAAGGCCCACCAAGGCGACGAUCCGUAGCUGGUCUGAGAGGAUGAUUCGCCACACUGGAACUGGGGAACCGUCCAAACUCCUAAGGGAGGCAACAGUUGGGAAUAUUGGACAAUGGGGGGAAGCCUUAUCCAGCCAUACCGCGUGGGUGAAGAAGGCCUUCGGGUUGUAAAGCCCUUUUGUUGGGAAAGAAAAGCAGCAGGUUAAUACCCCGCUGUUCUGACGGUACCCAAAGAAUAAGCACCGGCUAACUUCGUG